This 253-nucleotide ribosomal RNA is filed under the name uncultured bacterium. RNAcentral's name for it is "partial 16S ribosomal RNA". It matches the Rfam family "Bacterial small subunit ribosomal RNA", at positions 524 to 776 of the family's 1533-position model. The record is from RNAcentral.
UACAGAGGGGGCAAGCGUUAUUCGGAAUUAUUGGGCGUAAAGGGCGCGUAGGCGGCUUUGCAAGUGGCGGGUGAAAGCCCUCGGCUUAACCGAGGAACUGCCUGUCAGACUGUAAGGCUUGAGACCGGGAGAGGUGAGUGGAAUUCCCAGUGUAGCGGUGAAAUGCGUAGAUAUUGGGAGGAACACCAGUGGCGAAGGCGGCUCACUGGACCGGAACUGACGCUGAGGCGCGAAAGCGUGGGGAGCAAACAGG